AAGUUUAGUCGGAGCUGGUGCAA
RNAcentral lists this non-coding RNA (23 nucleotides) under Arabidopsis thaliana (thale cress). The record is from RNAcentral. Lineage: Eukaryota; Viridiplantae; Streptophyta; Magnoliopsida; Brassicales; Brassicaceae.